UAUAUAAAGCGGCCAUUACACGCGCAGCGUAGGCAUUGGCUUAGUCUUCUUUAAGAUGUGAGGAGGGUAUUUUGCUCGGUAGUUUCAAAUCCUUUGUGUGCACUUUUGUGUGAAUUUCUUCUGUUUUGUUCUACAACAAACACGAGCCGGAUACAGUCUCACCGUUUGAGAUGGCAUUGGGACAGGCGGAGGGAGUUGGUGUUCGCAACGAUGCUGAAGCGUACCGCACGAUCGAGGACCCCAUGUUCUCUAGUCUCUACGCCUUUCAUUGGUUUGGCAAGAGACCCGCACAUGCGUCCAGGCUGUUGGCCGUCAUCGGCGACAUUAUUUGGCCUGUCUGUGUAUGAGAUAAGGAGUGACAAGAGAGGAUUGGUAUGGGAUAAACAAAGGGGAAAAGUCUUUGUUUUUAGAAAAUCGUGCAUGAAGUUUUCUGGCUGACGAAUGGGUUACACCAUGAUCAAGUUGUACAUAAACGUCUCAUCACUCCGCGCUUCCGUAUCUUGAACAUGCAAGCAUCAACUAAUUCCAAAAUCGUCUGACGCGCGAUACUCAUAGGCUUAUUGUGACCAACUACAGCAAAUUGUAGCAAAUCAUAUUUGGUGAGCUCUAAUCCCUUUUGUUCGUUAUCUGUGCAAAUGUGUUUUCUCAGGUCCGGAAAAGUUUUUUCAACAUUUGUACCACCAAGUUGUAUGUGAGUUACUUUGGCUUAUCAAUAUGCCUUGUUCAAAGUUGAGCAAGCUGAAUACUGUCACAGCUCUCUAUCUUCCCAUUUGAAUUAAGAUAAUAAGAGCUUUUUGAGGUAUGGAGUAAAUUGAAUGCAUCUUUGUUGAGUCUAGAUGAUCCAGAAUGGCGAACUACCGCAAGUAGCACAACUAAUCGAAAUAAUAGACAUGCGCAUAUAUGAAAUAUGUUUAAUAUGGAUAGGAAAUUAUUUUGAAAUUUAACAAUCAUUGCAAUAAAUAUGUCGGUUCGGAAGUCA
Molecule: long non-coding RNA, 979 nt
Organism: Bombus impatiens (common eastern bumble bee)
Lineage: Eukaryota; Metazoa; Arthropoda; Insecta; Hymenoptera; Apidae
Exons: 3
Source: RefSeq, a predicted model, not a curated record